This is a long non-coding RNA of Megalobrama amblycephala (Wuchang bream), 1303 nucleotides long. RefSeq lists it as uncharacterized. Lineage: Eukaryota; Metazoa; Chordata; Actinopteri; Cypriniformes; Xenocyprididae. The record is from RefSeq and is a predicted model, not a curated record. The transcript has 3 exons.
GAUUCAGGUCUGUCUUCAGGUGCUGCAGCAGGAAUAGCUGUUGGUGUCUUACUGCUUGUGGCGGCUGUUGUGAUUUUUUGCUGCAAGCGUCAAAUAAGAAGAAAAGGAUGCAGGGAUGCAGCAUAAUGAUCAUGCAAAUGGUGUUAAAGAAUUGUGCCCUAAUCAGAACGAGAUUUCACUCGUGGAUGAUGCCAACGAGACGUCCUAUAAUCAGACUGAGUAGAGGAUACUGACAAACACAACUAAUGGGUUGUCCCCUAAUCAUACUGAGAUUGAGCCUGAAGCUGCCAGUGAGACCUCAGUGUAACUUUGUUUUUUCUUCAAAAUGUAAUUGUUGUGUUUUUUGCCUUUUAUUAUGAGAGGACAGCAAGUAGAUGGGAAGCAAAGUGGGAGAGAGGACAGGGUCAGGAAAGGUCUGCUAGCUAGGACUCAAAUUUGGGUCACCUGAAGUUCAGUAGUUCUAUAUUUCAACACACUACCCAUGAGCCUAUUGGUGCAGACACCAUGCAACAUUACUAAUUAUUUUAAAGUCUUAAUUGAAAUGGAAAAUAAGAAUAUGGAAAAUUUGAAUCCUCAAAUUUGUCAACCCUAACCAAUACCAAAAACAAAAAUUAGGUGAAUUACUUGCCCAGAUAGCAUCAAGAAUCAGCAUAUGAAUCUCAACAAUGGUGACAUGCUUCAUGCCGCAAUGCAUGCUGGGAGCCACCAUAGUAUACAACUCAUGACUCCCUGCAUGCAUUGCAGCAUGAAGCAUGUCACCAUUGUUGAGAUUCAUAUGCUGAUUCUUGAUGUCUGUGUGUGUCAAAUGUUUUUAAAAAUUUGCACUUUAAAAGUCAAUAUUCAGAAUGUCUGAUCUGUAGCAAGAAAACGUUGGUGAAUGUUACCCAUUAAAAAUGUAUUAAAAUAUUAUGUAGGCAUUAAAUCAAUUUAAUGUGUUUUACUAACAGCAAUGUGUUUUAUUAAUUUAUGGCACUGUUAACUCAUUAAACUUUAAAAGAUGAUAAUUUAGUGGAUGAUUUAAAAAAAAUUGUUAAUCAUAGGUAGCGUAUUCAAAUCAUAACGGUCGCCUGAGGGCGCUCAAAGACCAUGUAAUCUGUGAGCGUGAGAGUUUCUAACAACUUUAUUAAAAAGGAUAAAUACAUGAAAUUAUGUACACUUGUUAAUGUGUUUAUUUUUGUUUGCAGUAUUUUAUAGUAUUAAAUGAUUAUGAACACAUUAAGCAUGACAAAAAAAAUUAUACAAUCGAUUAAACUACAAAGCUGGCACAGAGGCAUGUAUGAUUACAAAAUUAAGUAAUUAUGAU